UACGUAGGGUGCGAGCGUUGUCCGGAAUUAUUGGGCGUAAAGGGCUCGUAGGCGGUUUGUCGCGUCGGGAGUGAAAAUCCAGGGCUUAACUCUGGACUGGCUUUCGAUACGGGCAGACUAGAGGUAUGCAGGGGAGAACGGAAUUCCUGGUGUAGCGGUGAAAUGCGCAGAUAUCAGGAGGAACACCAGUGGCGAAGGCGGUUCUCUGGGCAUUACCUGACGCUGAGGAGCGAAAGUGUGGGGAGCGAACAGG
Molecule: ribosomal RNA, 253 nt
Filed under: uncultured bacterium
Lineage: Bacteria
Description: partial 16S ribosomal RNA
Rfam family: Bacterial small subunit ribosomal RNA
Source: RNAcentral